Molecule: ribosomal RNA, 892 nt
Filed under: Staphylococcus aureus
Lineage: Bacteria; Bacillati; Bacillota; Bacilli; Caryophanales; Staphylococcaceae
Description: partial 23S ribosomal RNA
Rfam family: Bacterial large subunit ribosomal RNA
Source: RNAcentral
UGGAAAGAUGAAUCAAAGAAGGUAAUAAUCCUGUAGUCGAAAAUGUUGUCUCUCUUGAGUGGAUCCUGAGUACGACGGAGCACGUGAAAUUCCGUCGGAAUCUGGGAGGACCAUCUCCUAAGGCUAAAUACUCUCUAGUGACCGAUAGUGAACCAGUACCGUGAGGGAAAGGUGAAAAGCACCCCGGAAGGGGAGUGAAAUAGAACCUGAAACCGUGUGCUUACAAGUAGUCAGAGCCCGUUAAUGGGUGAUGGCGUGCCUUUUGUAGAAUGAACCGGCGAGUUACGAUUUGAUGCAAGGUUAAGCAGUAAAUGUGGAGCCGUAGCGAAAGCGAGUCUGAAUAGGGCGUUUAGUAUUUGGUCGUAGACCCGAAACCAGGUGAUCUACCCUUGGUCAGGUUGAAGUUCAGGUAACACUGAAUGGAGGACCGAACCGACUUACGUUGAAAAGUGAGCGGAUGAACUGAGGGUAGCGGAGAAAUUCCAAUCGAACCUGGAGAUAGCUGGUUCUCUCCGAAAUAGCUUUAGGGCUAGCCUCAAGUGAUGAUUAUUGGAGGUAGAGCACUGUUUGGACGAGGGGCCCCUCUCGGGUUACCGAAUUCAGACAAACUCCGAAUGCCAAUUAAUUUAACUUGGGAGUCAGAACAUGGGUGAUAAGGUCCGUGUUCGAAAGGGAAACAGCCCAGACCACCAGCUAAGGUCCCAAAAUAUAUGUUAAGUGGAAAAGGAUGUGGCGUUGCCCAGACAACUAGGAUGUUGGCUUAGAAGCAGCCAUCAUUUAAAGAGUGCGUAAUAGCUCACUAGUCGAGUGACACUGCGCCGAAAAUGUACCGGGGCUAAACAUAUUACCGAAGCUGUGGAUUGUCCUUUGGACAAUGGUAGGAGAGCGUUCU